UGCCCUAGUAACGGCGAGUGAAGCGGCAACAGCUCAAAUUUGAAAUCUGGCUUUCGGGCCCGAGUUGUAAUUUGUAGAGGAUACUUUUGAUGCGGUGCCUUCCGAGUUCCCUGGAACGGGACGCCAUAGAGGGUGAGAGCCCCGUCUGGUUGGAUGCCAAAUCUCUGUAAAGUUCCUUCGACGAGUCGAGUAGUUUGGGAAUGCUGCUCUAAAUGGGAGGUAUAUGUCUUCUAAAGCUAAAUAUUGGCCAGAGACCGAUAGCGCACAAGUAGAGUGAUCGAAAGAUGAAAAGCACUUUGAAAAGAGAGUUAAAAAGUACGUGAAAUUGUUGAAAGGGAAGCGUUUAUGACCAGACUUGGACUUGGUUAAUCAUCUGGGGUUCUCCCCAGUGCACUUUUCCAGUUCAGGCCAGCAUCAGUUUUCGCCGGGGGAUAAAGGCUUCGGGAAUGUAGCUCUCUUCGGGGAGUGUUAUAGCCCGUUGUGUAAUACCCUGGUGGAGACUGAGGUUCGCGCUUCUGCAAGGAUGCUGGCGUAAUGGUCAUCAACGACCCGUCUUGAAACACGGACCAAGGAGUCGUCUUCGUAUGCGAGUGUUCGGGUGUCAAACCCCUACGCGUAAUGAAAGUGAACGCACGUGAGAGCUUCGGCGCAUCAUCGACCGAUCCUGAUGUUCUCGGAUGGAUUUGAGUAAGAGCAU
This 697-nucleotide ribosomal RNA is filed under the name Fusarium tricinctum. RNAcentral's name for it is "partial large subunit ribosomal RNA". It matches the Rfam family "Eukaryotic large subunit ribosomal RNA", at positions 76 to 803 of the family's 3401-position model. The record is from RNAcentral. Lineage: Eukaryota; Fungi; Ascomycota; Sordariomycetes; Hypocreales; Nectriaceae.